This 253-nucleotide ribosomal RNA is filed under the name uncultured bacterium. RNAcentral describes it as "partial 16S ribosomal RNA". It matches the Rfam family "Bacterial small subunit ribosomal RNA", at positions 524 to 776 of the family's 1533-position model. The record is from RNAcentral.
UACGUAGGUGACAAGCGUUGUCCGGAUUUACUGGGCGUAAAGAGCGCGUAGGCGGUCGAUCAAGUCGAGUGUGAAAGCCCCCGGCUCAACUGGGGAGGGUCAUUCGAAACUGAUCGACUUGAAGGCAGGAGAGGGUGGUGGAAUUCCCGGUGUAGUGGUGAAAUGCGUAGAUAUCGGGAGGAACACCGGUGGCGAAGGCGGCUGCCUGGCCUGUUCUUGACGCUGAGGCGCGAAAGCUAGGGGAGCAAACGGG